This 359-nucleotide small RNA is filed under the name Pan troglodytes (chimpanzee). RNAcentral describes it as "retained intron". Lineage: Eukaryota; Metazoa; Chordata; Mammalia; Primates; Hominidae. The record is from RNAcentral.
GACAGCGUGUGCAUGCAUGUGUGUGUGUGUGCGCAUGUGCCGACCCCACCACUGCCCCGUCUGUCUCCUGUCUCCAGGCCUCUGUGUCUUCCAUUGUCUGGGCCUCUCUGUCUCCCUGUCUCCCGGCCUCGACCUCUGUCUCUGUCUCCGGACCUCCCUGCCUCCCCACCUCCAGCUCUCUGUCUCCCUGCCCCUGCGGCCCCCCAGGGCCAGGGGUGUGGGGUCACCCAGCACUUCCUCCCCUCAGCACCCGAGAACCCCUCCUCAGCAGCUCUGAGAACGGCAAUGGUGGCCGAGAGACGUCUCCAGCUGAUGCCCGGACUGAGAGAAUCCUCAGUGACCUCCUGCCCUUCUGCAGA